GAUGAACGCUGGCGGCGUGCCUAAUACAUGCAAGUCGAGCGAACGGACGAGAAGCUUGCUUCUCUGAUGUUAGCGGCGGACGGGUGAGUAACACGUGGAUAACCUACCUAUAAGACUGGGAUAACUUCGGGAAACCGGAGCUAAUACCGGAUGAUAUUUUGAACCGCAUGGUUCAAAAGUGAAAGACGGUCUUGCUGUCACUUAUAGAUGGAUCCGCGCUGCAUUAGCUAGUUGGUAAGGUAACGGCUUUCAAAGGGAAGGAGGCGUAGCCGACGGGAGAGGGUGAUCGGCCACACUGGAGCUGAGACACGGACCAGGCGCCUACGAGAGGCAGCAGUAGGGUAUCUUCCGCAGUGGGCGAGAGCCUGACGGAGCAAGGCGGCGUGAGUGGUGAAGGUCUUCGGAUCGUAAAGCUCUGUUAUGAGGGAAGAACAUAUGUGUAAGUAACUGUGCACAUCUUGACGGUACCUGGUCAGAAAGCAACGGCUAACUACGUG
RNAcentral lists this ribosomal RNA (497 nucleotides) under uncultured bacterium. RNAcentral describes it as "partial 16S ribosomal RNA". It matches the Rfam family "Bacterial small subunit ribosomal RNA", at positions 28 to 507 of the family's 1533-position model. The record is from RNAcentral.